UCCCUGGUGGUCCAGUGGCUAAGACUCUGCCCUCCAAGGCAGGGGGCUCAGGUUUGAUCCCUGGUCAGGGAA
This is a transfer RNA of Ovis aries (sheep), 72 nucleotides long. It matches the Rfam family "tRNA". From Rfam's summary of the family: Transfer RNA (tRNA) molecules are approximately 80 nucleotides in length. The record is from Rfam. NCBI's taxonomy places the organism in Eukaryota, Metazoa, Chordata, Mammalia, Artiodactyla, Bovidae.